GCAGGGCAUGGUGGCGCGUGCCUGUAAUCCCAGCUACUCGGGAGGCUGAGGCAGGAGAAUCGCUAGAACCCAGGAGGUGGAGGUUGCAGUGAGCUGAGAUGGAGCCACUGCACUCUAUCCUGGGUGACAGAGUGAGACAAUGUCUCAA
Molecule: non-coding RNA, 148 nt
Filed under: Chlorocebus sabaeus (green monkey)
Lineage: Eukaryota; Metazoa; Chordata; Mammalia; Primates; Cercopithecidae
Source: Rfam by way of RNAcentral